AAGCCAGUCUCUUCUGCCUCUAAAUGGACAUGUGUCAAGGGUCUGUUUUACAGUUUAUAUCAUCAGAUGGCCAUGAAAUUAGAUCUAAAUAGAAGGAGUCCCAUCAAGACUCUGAUGAUAGGAAGUCUUGCCACCUUGUAUCUGCAUGGGUUAGCUGCAGGACAAUAACAGACUUUAAAAGUAGCUACUACUGAGAACCAUGUGAGACUCCAUGGCUCAAUCUGAUGAUCUCUGUGCAAGGUUUCCAAUGUGCACCUCUGCAUGUGCUCUACGUGACCUGGACAGAAAACCUCUCAGGCACCGUUACUACCACUGUGUCUAGCAAAGCUUGUCCCAGGUACCCAGAAAGCAUUUUACAGCCUACAGGAAACUACUAACAUUUAAUGAGGCUAACCAGAAGUCCUGAUGGCAGAGGAUGUCCCAGCAGAGGACAGCUGCUCUGCACUGGCUGUACAGCCAGGCUGUGAGAAUUAUCACAUCGCAGGAUUGCCAUGAUUAUCAGGAAACAUUUCUUCAUCGAGGGGUGGUCAGGUACUGGGACAGCCUGCCCAGGGCAGUGGUGGAGUCACCGUUGCUGGAAGUGUUCACAAACCAUGUACAUGAGGCCCUCAGAGGUAUGGUUUAGUGGUGGCCUUGGCAAUGCUGGGGAACAGUUA
Molecule: long non-coding RNA, 656 nt
Organism: Neopsephotus bourkii (Bourke's parrot)
Lineage: Eukaryota; Metazoa; Chordata; Aves; Psittaciformes; Psittacidae
Exons: 3
Source: RefSeq, a predicted model, not a curated record